Molecule: long non-coding RNA, 515 nt
Organism: Rhea pennata
Lineage: Eukaryota; Metazoa; Chordata; Aves; Rheiformes; Rheidae
Exons: 3
Source: RefSeq, a predicted model, not a curated record
GUGUUUGAAAAUUCAGUAAACAAUGCUGACACUGUUGAGAAUAGGUGAUUCAUGACUUUGUGAAGAUGGAUGGAUGCUUCUUUGUGACAUGUUAUAACCCUUGUUUGCUUUUUGUGACUGAUCCGCUUCGACCCGGGGCUUUCGCAGAACCAUGCAGCUGAAGACCUAGUAAAUAGAGAUCGUGUAAAAUUUUAAGGCUUCUGGAAGGUGGAGAUGAUUGCUGACUUGACUUUGUACUGAAGCUGACAUUGAACACGCAAGGUGAACUCAGAUCCAGUCCUCAUCCUUAUCCUGAAAUGUACUUCCAAUGGUAUUUCAAUGUCUUUCUACUCACUGUGCUAGAUUUGGAUUGGAUGACUAUGUUCAACUCACAUCACAGCCCCAAGAAAAGACUGAGCUGUCCUCAGUGGUGGUUCCUGCAUAGCUCUGACUAGCAGACCAUGAAUUCCCAUGAUCAGCUGAAGUAACAGAAGGGUAAUCAGUUUCCUUCGAGAUUUCAGAUUCACUGAAAUGCA